UUCCGGUUGAUCCUGCCGGAGGCCAUUGCUAUCGGAGUCCGAUUUAGCCAUGCUAGUUGUGCGGGUUUAGACCCGCAGCGGAAAGCUCAGUAACACGUGGCCAAGCUACCCUGUGGACGGGAAUACUCUCGGGAAACUGAGGCUAAUCCCCGAUAACGCUUUGCUCCUGGAAGGGGCAAAGCCGGAAACGCUCCGGCGCCACAGGAUGCGGCUGCGGUCGAUUAGGUAGACGGUGGGGUAACGGCCCACCGUGCCCAUAAUCGGUACGGGUUGUGAGAGCAAGAGCCCGGAGACGGAAUCUGAGACAAGAUUCCGGGCCCUACGGGGCGCAGCAGGCGCGAAACCUUUACACUGUACGAAAGUGCGAUAAGGGGACUCCGAGUGUGAAGGCAUAGAGCCUUCACUUUUGUACACCGUAAGGUGGUGCACGAAUAAGGACUGGGCAAGACCGGUGCCAGCCGCCGCGGUAAUACCGGCAGUCCGAGUGAUGGCCGAUCUUAUUGGGCCUAAAGCGUCCGUAGCUGCUGAACAAGUCCGUUGGGAAAUCUGUCCGCUUAACGGGCAGGCGUCCAGCGGAAACUGUUCAGCUUGGGACCGGAAGACCUGAGGGGUACGUCUGGGGUAGGAGUGAAAUCCUGUAAUCCUGGACGGACCGCCGGUGGCGAAAGCGCCUCAGGAGAACGGAUCCGACAGUGAGGGACGAAAGCUAGGGUCUCGAACCGGAUUAGAUACCCGGGUAGUCCUAGCUGUAAACGAUGUCCGCUAGGUGUGGCGCAGGCUACGAGCCUGCGCUGUGCCGUAGGGAAGCCGAGAAGCGGACCGCCUGGGAAGUACGUCUGCAAGGAUGAAACUUAAAGGAAUUGGCGGGGGAGCACUACAACCGGAGGAGCCUGCGGAUUAAUUGGAUUCAACGCCGG
This 917-nucleotide ribosomal RNA is filed under the name uncultured haloarchaeon. RNAcentral's name for it is "bacterial SSU rRNA". It matches the Rfam family "Archaeal small subunit ribosomal RNA", at positions 1 to 921 of the family's 1478-position model. The record is from RNAcentral. Lineage: Archaea; Methanobacteriati; Methanobacteriota; Halobacteria; Halobacteriales; Halobacteriaceae.